GGGGAUGUAGCUCAAGUGGAAAACUUCACGCUUUGAAUGCUAGAGGUGCAACGUUCAAUCCCCUGCAUCUCCA
Molecule: transfer RNA, 73 nt
Filed under: Salix viminalis (osier)
Lineage: Eukaryota; Viridiplantae; Streptophyta; Magnoliopsida; Malpighiales; Salicaceae
Source: RNAcentral